AAGACUAUACUUUCGGGGAUCCUUUCUAUAGUUUGUUACUAGAGAAAGCUAAAGGGGAGUUCCGCUUCCCGACUGUUGGGAGCCCC
Erinaceus europaeus (western European hedgehog) is the source of this 86-nucleotide small nucleolar RNA. Its record names the gene U3. It matches the Rfam family "Small nucleolar RNA U3". From Rfam's summary of the family: Small nucleolar RNAs (snoRNAs) are involved in the processing and modification of rRNA in the nucleolus. There are two main classes of snoRNAs: the box C/D class, and the box H/ACA class. U3 snoRNA is a member of the box C/D class. NCBI's taxonomy places the organism in Eukaryota, Metazoa, Chordata, Mammalia, Eulipotyphla, Erinaceidae. The record is from Ensembl.